Molecule: unclassified non-coding RNA, 253 nt
Filed under: uncultured Alphaproteobacteria bacterium
Lineage: Bacteria; Pseudomonadati; Pseudomonadota; Alphaproteobacteria
Description: contains 16S-23S intergenic spacer region
Rfam family: Bacterial small subunit ribosomal RNA
Source: RNAcentral
UACGAAGGGGGCUAGCGUUGUUCGGAAUCACUGGGCGUAAAGCGCACGUAGGCGGACGUUUAAGUCAGGGGUGAAAUCCCGGGGCUCAACCCCGGAACUGCCUUUGAUACUGGAAGUCUUGAGUCCGAGAGAGGUGAGUGGAAUUCCGAGUGUAGAGGUAAAAUUCGUAGAUAUUCGGAAGAACACCAGUGGCGAAGGCGGCUCACUGGCUCGGUACUGACGCUGAGGUGCGAAAGCGUGGGGAGCUAAUGGG